Molecule: unclassified non-coding RNA, 221 nt
Filed under: uncultured fungus
Lineage: Eukaryota; Fungi
Description: partial contains 5.8S rRNA and ITS2
Source: RNAcentral
UGGGAUAGUGGUGUUGAGAAAAUUAAGAAUCAGUUUUGGUCCUACAGUUACAGUAAUCUCAAACUUAAUAGAGUCUUUGAGGAAGCUGUCUCCUAGGUCAAUUGAGUAUUGAGGAAUUCGGGUACCUGCCCCUUGAGUUAAACGAGCCUUGAUGAGUCCUAUAGAGUCUGUUUCUGAAGAGCAUAGAAUGCCGAGGUAUCUGGGAGUCUGUUUUCUGAAGA